RNAcentral lists this transfer RNA (86 nucleotides) under Methanoregula boonei 6A8. RNAcentral's name for it is "tRNA-Leu". It matches the Rfam family "tRNA". From Rfam's summary of the family: Transfer RNA (tRNA) molecules are approximately 80 nucleotides in length. Their secondary structure includes four short double-helical elements and three loops (D, anti-codon, and T loops). The record is from RNAcentral. Lineage: Archaea; Methanobacteriati; Methanobacteriota; Methanomicrobia; Methanomicrobiales; Methanoregulaceae.
GCGAGAAUAUCUAAGUGGCCAACAGAGGCGGACUCAAGAUCCGUUCCCGAAGGGGUUCGCAGGUUCGACUCCUGCUUCUCGCAUCA